Petromyzon marinus (sea lamprey) is the source of this 1666-nucleotide long non-coding RNA. RefSeq lists it as uncharacterized. The record is from RefSeq and is a predicted model, not a curated record. NCBI's taxonomy places the organism in Eukaryota, Metazoa, Chordata, Hyperoartia, Petromyzontiformes, Petromyzontidae.
UGCUGCUGCUGCUGCUGCGAGCUCUCUUUAUUUUGAAUUGCUGCUCGUCCUCGGCGAAGCCGUUUGCCGCUACAGUGCAUUGCAUGGGAAGAUCAAAGACGGCCGAGCCUCUGUGAAGUCUGCACAGAUGCAGCAGUCAGCGGGGGUCCGUGGCUCGCCAGAGCCACGCACACGCCUGGAGAAUUCCCACUUCAGAGCCUGCCAGCCCGCGCGCUGUCAAAGUCUUUUUAGCCGCUCCUUUCCCGGGGACGAGAGCGCCAGCCUUAACCCUUUUGCCCACAGCUUUCCCGGCCCGGGAUGACGAUGAUGGAGAUGGCAUGGAAAGUGGCAUGAAUUGAAGUCACCUUUUUUUUUUGCUGCGAUCAGACCGAUGUGUGGUUUUACGAUGUAGCGCGUGGCAUGAGUUUGAUAUGUAUGGGGUAUUGUCUGGCAGCUGAGAGUUGAUGUGAUUUUUUGGGGGGGGAAAAAACUGUCCAAUGAAAUGUUGAUACAGGUGGAAGUUGAGAAAAUAAAAUGGUUCCUUAGGUGAAAGUGUUAUCCUGCAUUAUUUAUUUCUCUUGGGGACCUGACAACAUCUUUGUUUUAUUAUUAUUUUCUUUUUUAUUUGUGACUGCCAGCAUAUUUUCUCCCACCAAAACAAAAUUGUGCCACUCAUUGUUGAACCUUUACUGCUGCAAACAAUGCGUGUAUGGACAAAAUAAUGCAGAGGGCCACCCUGAUUAAACCAACCUUGCCGUCGCAUCUGCAGCUCCCACGGUGUCGAACUCACGUACACGUUUGAUCAACUGUCCGGCGUCUGUAUAAGGAGGGCCUUUCCCACCCGCUUGUGGGGAAUCUAGACACCGCCGGCAGGCUUUGACACAGUCACUCGGUGGCUCUCCCUAGUCCAAGUAUGCACCGGGAUCCUUUAUGCACACGUGGAAGCAGUCAGGAUGGCGGGCUGAACUUCCUCUUCUCGGAUGUCAAAGAAUGUACAGUGUCCAUUGUAAGUAUGAGUCGAGUUUAUUUUGCAGGUCACAGAAUGUCAUUGGGAAUGUCACCUCCAGAGACGAAAAACAGCGUGCGUUUAUUCAGAUACAGUACACAAAUUGUAUAUAUACGCACGAUUAUACAUGCACAGCUCAUUUGUCAAUCCACUGCUGGAUGAAGGCCGCCCCAUACCUUGCUGGGCAGUAAGAUAUAUAUAUGUGACCAUAUUUCACUAUGCUGGGCAGUGCUUCGUCGAUGAAGGUGAAGGGCAAGGCAGAAAGAACAGUGUGGUUGUUGUUGUUGUUGUUAUUAUUGUUGUUUUGCUCCACGACCCUCUAACUGCCCCGCAACGUCGAUGUAAGAUCUCACUUUUUUGCGCACGCCGGUGGCCCAUCCCAUCCCAUCCCAGACGACGGCACCGGAGCUCUCAACUCUGCUCAUCUUCUGCGACGUGGCGAGAUCGGGCGCAUCGCCGGGCGAUUUCAGUCGCUGGCACACAGUGGCGUGCAAUUAUAAUUUGCACGAAAUACUUUUUUUUCUGGGUGUCUGCAGUUAAAAAAAAAAGUGGGGUAGGAGGGGUGGGGUACUCAUUAUGCCAUAUAUAAACACCAUGAAACCCACUGCGGAUGGAUGUGUAAAACCUCUGAUCAGAGCUUUGGAAUUUUAACGCAGUGAGGAACAAAGCGCUUUAAGCCCC